GAUGAAGAACGUAGCGAAAUGCGAUAAGUAGUGUGAAUUGCAGAAUUCAGUGAAUCAUCGAAUCUUUGAACGCACAUUGCGCCCCUUGGUAUUCCAUGGGGCAUGCCUGUUCGAGCGUCAUUUGUACCUUCAAGCUCUGCUUGGUGUUGGGUGUUUGUCUCGCCUCUGCGUGUAGACUCGCCUCAAAACAAUUGGCAGCCGGCGUAUUGAUUUCGGAGCGCAGUACAUCUCGCGCUUUGCACUCAUAACGACGACGUCCAAAAGUUCAUUUUUACACUCUUGACCUCGGAUCAGGUAGGGAUACCCGCUGAACUUAAGCAUAUCAAUAAGCGAGGA
RNAcentral lists this unclassified non-coding RNA (336 nucleotides) under soil metagenome. RNAcentral's name for it is "partial contains 5.8S ribosomal RNA, internal transcribed spacer 2, and large subunit ribosomal RNA". The stretch from base 1 to 120 matches the Rfam family "5.8S ribosomal RNA", at positions 35 to 154 of the family's 154-position model. The record is from RNAcentral.